GACUUCCUCUUCUCCUCUCCCUCGCCAUCCUCUCUCCCUCUCUCCGCCUCCCAAGAUGAGUGGCGGCUUUAGGGUUUCGAUCCCCUCCAACGUGACCUCCUCCCCAUCCUCUCCCGUGCCGUUGUCGGUUGCUGCAACCACAACUCCGUUGGAGAUUAAGUCAAUUUACAAUCCACAAAUGGGCAUAUGUUUGAUUCUUCAAGAAGGGUUUCGUUCCCCUCCAACGUGACCUCCUCUCCAUCCUCUCACAUGCCGUCGUCGGUUGAUCCAACCACAACUCUGUUGGAGGUCGAGGAUGAUGACGGUGGAUGUUGGCGCAAGGGAAGCGCUGUCGUGGAUAUGUAAGCGAAAUGCAAGAGUUUGGGUAAUUCGUUUCAUAUGUUCGAUGAAAUGCUCAAAACGAAUUGGUUCUCAUGGAGCGCAGUUAUUGGGCUUGUGCUCAAAAUGAGAAAUUCAUGGACGGGUUGGAUAUGUUCAUAGAGAAAAAAUCUACAGUAAUUUGGAUCAUUUCGUUGGGCACCAUUUUUUGCUUUACAAAAAUGGAAUUCCUUUUUCACAAUGCUCUUGCUGCUUUCAAAGUACAAAUUAAGAGCAUUCCGGUGCUUGGUCUUGGAAUCUGUACUUCUUCUAUUUCUGCAAUUACAGAGUUCUUGGAUCUGUAUUUUGUUUCUUUGGUUUAGAUUAGAGACUGAAUGUAGCUUAUUUGUAUCUGAUUUGACAGAGCUGUCUUUUGGGUUUCAGACUGUAUCUGAUCACAGACUGAAUUGAAUAUAGCUUAUUUGUAUCUGAUUUUCAGAGUUGUCUUUUAAUUCAUACAACAGUUAGAAAAAAUAAUUCUAAUAGGUACAAUAUACUUCAUAUAAAAAACUAAGUCCAGUAGAAAAUAUUCAUAUAGCUACAACAAAGUUCAAAAAAUUAAGUUUACCUUAGCAAAAAUUUUUUUCACCUAAAUAUUAUUGAAAUGUUAGCGUUAUUUUAUAAUCAUAUUAUAUUUUUUAAAAAAAUUUCAACUCUACUACUAAACUUUUUUUACGUUUUCAAAAAAUUUCAUCAUAACACAUUUUGUUACUCGAAAACCCGUGCAUUGCGUGGGGCCGGAUGUACAAAAAUAAUUUAGUCUCUCUUUCGAGGACGGGGGACCCACCGCCUUCUGCUUCUUCGAGACGGAGAAGAACUAGGAGAGGAGCAAGGAGGAGGAGGAGGAGGCGGCGGGGGGAGCGCCAAGGAAGAGGAGGAGAAAGAUGAUGAGGGAAGCGGCCGCACCGACAUGGAAGUCAGAAUCCCGUGCAAUGCAUGGGUCAUCAACUAGUUAAAAGAUCAUCCAAUGUGCUGUUAACAAGAAUGACGUAAUAACUUUACCUUGGUUCUUGUUUGAGAAGCUCUAGAACCAUUCCUUCCAAAUUUGAGUGAUGUUGCAUGGCAAAUUUGGGUGUUGUAAUCCAUUGGUUGUGAAUACCCAUAGCGUUCUGAAGUAAGAGCAGUUCAGCAACAAAUGAUCUACUGUUUCAUUGUAGUUGUGACAAAGCUGACACAACGGAUCAACUUGCAUUCCUUUUUUUCUUGAAAUGAGCCAGCCAUUCAAAAAGCUUAACUUUCUCAAGGAGUGGCAGUUUCCAAAUAAUCUUCCCGAUUGCAUGGUGCACCCUGCCGUUGAUGAGAAAAUAGUAGCAAUUUUUCACAGAGUAUUUUGUUGUUUUACUCCAUUUCCAUAUUCUUUGAUCCUCUUCAUUUGUUAAUCUAAUAUCUGAGAUGCAUCUAAGUAGCUUCCGAAGGUCUUCUGUGGCUCCAUAACUGAGGGGAGUUUUGAAGUUUAAUGACCAGUGCGCACAAGAGAAGAAGCUGGCAACACUGAUCGACAGUUGCUUUGCGAAUGGUAGAAGAUCGGGUAAAUCAUGGCUUAGUGGUGAAUCUGUAAGCCAAGAAUCAUACCAGAAAGAUGUUAAUUUACCGUUGCCCACUUUUGAAAGGUGAGAGAUGACAUCGGCAGCUGUGAUAUAACUUUCAUGAAUCAUUCUAUUCCUGAGGAAGAUUUGAUUGAGUCUCUGCUACAAGUGAGUUCAUGACUUGUCCAAGCCUCAUGGAUAGUACUUUGGAGAAAAUUUUCAUGAUACUAUUUUCCAAACUAAUUGGGCGGAAGUCUUUAACAUCUACACUUUCUAUUUUCUUUGGUAUCAAAACAAUUUUUGUAUAGUUCAGCCUUGACAGGUCUGUUUGUGAGCCAUAAACAGCAUCGAAGAAGGCAAGGAUGUCUGGUUUCAGGGUCUGCCAGUGUUUCUGAAAGAAAGAGAUUGGAAAACCAUCCAGGCUAGGAGCUUUGUCUCUUGGGAGGUUGAAAACAGCAUCCUUAGUUUCUUGUUCAGUGAAUGGGCUUUCUAGGGGGCUGAGAUACAUAUGGUUUUCUAGAUAAAGUUUCUCCUAUUUGCAUCCACCAAUGAGUCUUUGUUGCAUCCGAAGAUCACUGAAUAAAAGUCUAAGAAAGCUUUCUGAUCGAAUGUCAGCUUGAUUGUCAAAGACUUUGCCAUCUUUUUGUAUUUCUGUGAUAUGAUUUUUCCUUCUAUUGGAUGCACAUAUGUGAAAGAACUUAAUAUUUCUGUCACCUUCGGCCAGCCAUAACUGUCUGGAUCUUUGUCUCUAGCAGAUUUCUUCUUAUUGGAUUAAAGUAUCAAGCUGAAUUUCGAGGUUAAUUCUUUCACUUCGCUCUUCUGCCGCCAGGUUUCUGUCUUCUUCAAGGUGGUCAAUGGUUCCUAUUCUAGCUUCUGCAUCUUUUUUCUGUUGAAGUAAAUUUCCAGCAUUGUUUUUGCUCCGUGCUCUCAGCUGCGAGCGCAAGAAGCGUAAUCUCAGAACUAAGUUGGGUAUGGUUUCAGGGGAGGAUGGAGAAGAAAUCUACAAUUGAUCAAUUAGAGGCUCUAAAUCUUGACGAAGAUACCAGGUGUUUUCAAAGCGGAAGGGUUUGAGCCAUUUUGCACCUGCCCAGGAAAUGAAAGUGAAGGUGAGCAAUAAAGGAGUGUGAUCAGAUGUGGUUCUUACCAGGGAAGUGAGGGAUGUUAGGGUUUGUAGAUUGUGUCACUCGAGUGAAAUGAAGCUUCUAUCAAGUUUUUCUAAGCUGGCUUCAUCUUGGAAGUCUGUCUAGGAGAAUUUCCUAUUGAAUGCAUUGAUCUCAAUCAAUCUGAUCACGUUGGUUGAUG
Molecule: non-coding RNA, 3185 nt
Organism: Elaeis guineensis (African oil palm)
Lineage: Eukaryota; Viridiplantae; Streptophyta; Magnoliopsida; Arecales; Arecaceae
Source: RefSeq, a predicted model, not a curated record